AGUGAACGCUGGCGGUAGGCCUAACACAUGCAAGUCGAACGGCAGCACAGUAAGAGCUUGCUCUUACGGGUGGCGAGUGGCGGACGGGUGAGGAAUACAUCGGAAUCUACUUUUUCGUGGGGGAUAACGUAGGGAAACUUACGCUAAUACCGCAUACGACCUACGGGUGAAAGCAGGGGAUCUUCGGACCUUGCGCGAUUGAAUGAGCCGAUGUCGGAUUAGCUAGUUGGCGGGGUAAAGGCCCACCAAGGCGACGAUCCGUAGCUGGUCUGAGAGGAUGAUCAGCCACCCUGGAACUGAGACACGGUCCAGACUCCUACGAGAGGCAGCAGUGGGGAAUAUUGGACAAUGGGCGCAAGCCUGAUCCAGCCAUACCGCGUGGGUGAAGAAGGCCUUCGGGUUGUAAAGCCCUUUUGUUGGGAAAGAAAAGCAGCAGGUUAAUACCCCGCUGUUCUGACGGUACCCAAUGAAUAAGCACCGGCUAACUUCGUG
This 492-nucleotide ribosomal RNA is filed under the name uncultured bacterium. RNAcentral's name for it is "partial 16S ribosomal RNA". It matches the Rfam family "Bacterial small subunit ribosomal RNA", at positions 29 to 507 of the family's 1533-position model. The record is from RNAcentral.